Molecule: ribosomal RNA, 481 nt
Filed under: uncultured bacterium
Lineage: Bacteria
Description: SSU rRNA
Rfam family: Bacterial small subunit ribosomal RNA
Source: RNAcentral
AGGACGAACGCUGGCGGCGUGCUUAACACAUGCAAGUCGAACGGUAAGGCCCUUCGGGGUGCACGAGUGGCGAACGGGUGAGUAACACGUGGGUGAUCUGCCCUGCACUUCGGGAUAAGCUUGGGAAACUGGGUCUAAUACCGGAUAUGACUACGAAUCGCAUGGUUUGUGGUGGAAAGCUUUUGCGGUGUGGGAUGGGCCCGCGGCCUAUCAGCUUGUUGGUGGGGUGAUGGCCUACCAAGGCGACGACGGGUAGCCGGCCUGAGAGGGUGUCCGGCCACACUGGGACUGAGAUACGGCCCAGACUCCUACGGGAGGCAGCAGUGGGGAAUAUUGCACAAUGGGCGCAAGCCUGAUGCAGCGACGCCGCGUGAGGGAUGGACGGCCUUCGGGUUGUAAACCUCUUUCAGUAUCGACGAAGCGCAAGUGACGGUAGGUACAGAAGAAGGACCGGCCAACUACGUGCCAGCAGCCGCGGUAA